UACGUAGGGGGCAAGCGUUGUCCGGAAUCAUUGGGCGUAAAGAGCUCGUAGGCGGCUCGUCGCGUCGACCGUGAAAACCCGCGGCUUAACUGCGGGCUUGCGGUUGAUACGGGCGGGCUAGAGUUCGGUAGGGGAGACUGGAAUUCCUGGUGUAGCGGUGAAAUGCGCAGAUAUCAGGAGGAACACCGGUCGCGAAGGCGGGUCUCUGGGCCGAUACUGACGCUGAGGAGCGAAAGCGUGGGGAGCGAACAGG
Molecule: ribosomal RNA, 253 nt
Filed under: uncultured bacterium
Lineage: Bacteria
Description: partial 16S ribosomal RNA
Rfam family: Bacterial small subunit ribosomal RNA
Source: RNAcentral